UGAUGAUUGUUCCUCCUGCUGCUCUGAGCUCAGGCAGCUCAGGAUUUUACAUCAUCAGAGAGAAUCAGAGUCUACUUCACCCGGUGUGUGCCGACCCAGCGGUCACAUGUGGCCACACUGGACAUUGCGUGACUCUACAGCU
This is a small nucleolar RNA of Cyprinus carpio carpio, 142 nucleotides long. NCBI's taxonomy places the organism in Eukaryota, Metazoa, Chordata, Actinopteri, Cypriniformes, Cyprinidae. The record is from Ensembl.